UGGGGAAUAUUGCACAAUGGGGGAAACCCUGAUGCAGCGACGCCGCGUGAACGAAGAAGGUAUUCGUAUCGUAAAGUUCUGUCCUAUGGGAAGAUAAUGACAGUACCAUAGAAGAAAGCUCCGGCUAAAUACGUGCCAGCAGCCGCGGUAAUACGUAUGGAGCGAGCGUUGUCCGGAAUUAUUGGGCGUAAAGGGUACGCAGACAGUUUAAUAAGUCGAAUGUUAAAGAUCGGGGCUCAACCCCGUAAAGCAUUGGAAACUGAUAAACUUGAGUAGUGGAGAGGAAAGUGGAAUUCCUAGUGUAGUGGUGAAAUACGUAGAUAUUAGGAGGAAUACCAGUAGCGAAGGCGACUUUCUGGACACAAACUGACGCUGAGGUACGAAAGCGUGGGGAGCAAACAGG
This 403-nucleotide ribosomal RNA is filed under the name bacterium. RNAcentral's name for it is "partial 16S ribosomal RNA". It matches the Rfam family "Bacterial small subunit ribosomal RNA", at positions 355 to 776 of the family's 1533-position model. The record is from RNAcentral.